RNAcentral lists this ribosomal RNA (497 nucleotides) under uncultured bacterium. RNAcentral's name for it is "partial 16S ribosomal RNA". It matches the Rfam family "Bacterial small subunit ribosomal RNA", at positions 28 to 506 of the family's 1533-position model. The record is from RNAcentral.
GACGAACGCUGGCGGCGUGCCUAAUACAUGCAAGUCGAACGAGAGCGACCGGUGCUUGCACUGGUCAAUCUAGUGGCGAACGGGUGAGUAACACGUGGGUAACCUGCCCAUCAGAGGGGGAUAACAUCCGGAAACGGAUGCUAAAACCGCAUAGGUCUUCGAGCCGCAUGGCUUGAAGAGGAAAAGAGGCGCAAGCUUCUGCUGAUGGAUGGACCCGCGGUGCAUUAGCUAGUUGGUGAGGUAACGGCUCACCAAGGCCGUGAUGCAUAGCCGACCUGAGAGGGUGAUCGGCCACAUUGGGACUGAGACACGGCCCAAACUCCUACGGGAGGCAGCAGUAGGGAAUCUACCGCAAUGGACGCAAGUCUGACGGAGCAACGCAGCGUGAGUGAAGAAGGUUUUCGGAUCGUAAAACUCUGUUGUUAGAGAAGAACAAGUGCUAGAGUAACUGUUAGCGCCUUGACGGUAUCUAACAAGAAAGCCACGGCUAACUACGU